GUGUGGUAUGAAAGGAGAGAAGGUUAGCACUCCCCUUGAUAAGCAAGUAUUAUAUGCAAUGGAGAUAAAUUAGAGGCCUUCCCAAUAAGAUCAGGGGUGAAACAGGGAUGUCCAUUAUCACCCCUAUUAUUU
Molecule: small nuclear RNA, 132 nt
Organism: Dromiciops gliroides (monito del monte)
Lineage: Eukaryota; Metazoa; Chordata; Mammalia; Microbiotheria; Microbiotheriidae
Source: RefSeq, a predicted model, not a curated record